Paramisgurnus dabryanus is the source of this 375-nucleotide long non-coding RNA. RefSeq lists it as uncharacterized. The record is from RefSeq and is a predicted model, not a curated record. Lineage: Eukaryota; Metazoa; Chordata; Actinopteri; Cypriniformes; Cobitidae.
GGGUCAAUUAUGAGUGAAGAACCGUUCACCAAAUGAAGACCGCAGCCAGGUGACGGGAUUCUGUGGUAAUCGCAAACAGGUAAGCACCAUACCGUAAGCUUCAUUCCCUUUAUAACAGAUUUAAAAGUGUCUACUGUUGAAGCACAUCUGAUCUCUUCUGAAAGCUGAUAAUAACUAAAUGCUGAUGCACCUUGUUUUGAGUGAACCCUUGUUUUUUCUAAAUGACCUGAUCCUAUUGAUCCGAGUAAUCGGUUUCAUAUUCGAUUAGCAUAUCUGUCAUGUAUUUCGGCCCGUAGCCAUGAAGUGGUUUUUAAACAAGUAACAGUACUUUUUUUAAUCCAUUGUCCAUUGCAAUAAUCGGCCCUGCUGGUGAUG